Molecule: long non-coding RNA, 760 nt
Organism: Tupaia belangeri chinensis (Chinese tree shrew)
Lineage: Eukaryota; Metazoa; Chordata; Mammalia; Scandentia; Tupaiidae
Exons: 4
Source: RefSeq, a predicted model, not a curated record
CCCAUCCCCUGACCAUCAAACCACAUGCUCCUGACCGGGACGGAAUAAGCUGGUCUUCUCAGCAUUCAGAUGAGCUGAGCAAAGAACUCUGCAACUGAUCCAAAUCCUUUUCAAACAUGCAGAUGCCGUUUAUUUCAUCUAAGAGGCUAUAUAGCAUCGUGUGCCAAUCACGGGAGAUAACAGCCUGUUCACCUCUGCAAUGUAUGGUCAACAUCUGGAAACUGCGUUUCAUGGGAAGGACCUCAUUUCCAGAAGCUCAUUAAUCAAGAGACUGCAAAUGGCAAAGAGCUCCUAUGAGAAAACCUUGGAUUAUAUGCCCAGAGUAGGGGUAGAGGGCUCUACUCUAUUGGUCAACACUUGGCAUAGCACUAGGAAGUGAUGCCCCUUUGAGAUGACCGCAGUAAUGAACAACAGGCUAUGAACUUGCCAAAAACCCAAAAGACUACAGGAUGACGUGGUCUAGAGGACAGUGCGGUCGACACCAGAGAAGGGAGCGACCAGACAGAAGCCUGGAAAAGAAGGAGCCUGAAUCAGCAGAUAUGGCUCCAGGUUUUUACUUCGAAGGCACUCACUGCCUGUCCAGGCUUUUUCGUGACACAAAAGCAUGAGGUGAGGCUAGUUACACAUAUUCUCUCUGCUUUAUUAAGCCUGCAAAACUUAGUUAUAUUUGUAUUAUUAAGGACAGUUAAGAUAGUUAAGAACCAGUCUCAUACCUUGUAGCAUACCCAUUAUUAACAGAAACACUUGCAAACUAAGGUUA